RNAcentral lists this ribosomal RNA (202 nucleotides) under uncultured Pseudomonas sp. RNAcentral describes it as "partial 16S ribosomal RNA". It matches the Rfam family "Bacterial small subunit ribosomal RNA", at positions 152 to 354 of the family's 1533-position model. Lineage: Bacteria; Pseudomonadati; Pseudomonadota; Gammaproteobacteria; Pseudomonadales; Pseudomonadaceae. The record is from RNAcentral.
CGAAAGGAACGCUAAUACCGCAUACGUCCUACGGGAGAAAGCAGGGACCGUUCGGGCCUUGCGCUAUCAGAUGAGCCUAGGUCGGAUUAGCUAGUUGGUGAGGUAAUGGCUCACCAAGGCGACGAUCCGUAACUGGUCUGAGAGGAUGAUCAGUCACACUGGAACUGAGACACGGUCCAGACUCCUACGGGAGGCAGCAGGU